UAAAUCGGGCGCUUCUUUGGUUAAUCGGGGUAACAAAGCUCUUCCCUAAAAUAAAUCACAUGUUUCCCUCUUUAAUAAAAGUCUUUAUGAAUAUUCAUUUUGCUUUUACUCAUAAACUACGAUUAAUUUUAAUUCAUCACAUAAAUUAUUUCAAUUUUCUUUGUUUCCAAAACAGUGAUCUAGAUUGCUUGAGUUAAUCAGUUUAAUGAAAAUCUUAAUUGUCAACUUACAUUCAUCCAACUUUCUGAGUUACGUUAUGCUAAGCUUUUUUUAUAUUUUGUUUGUUAAUUUUAUAUUUGUUUCAACUUAUAACUGAUUACCGGAUUAGCAAAUAUGGAAUAUUAUCAGUUUUUGUGUCAAAAUCCUCAUAAAUUAUCUUGUCAUAAUUUCGAGAAAUCAAGUUCAAAAUGUCUUACAAUCUAUUGUUAAAAUUUUGGCUUUUUUACACAAAGCUGUUCACUUGUAACGGUCAUCUUUUAGAGUCAAUUUUUUCAAUUAACGAUCUUUGGCAUCCUAAGGUUUUUAAAAGUUGACCUGAUGAUCGAUAUAUGGAUGAUUUUUUGGUAUAAAGAUCUUCAGACGAUCCCUGGUUUAUGAUAAAGAGAUAGACAAAGAAAUGGUAAAGAUUAAAAAGACCCAAAUAUUAUAUAAUGAUAAAAGAAUGGUAAUUUGAUAAUAAUAAUGGCGAUAAUUAGAUGAGAGUUGAAUCCAGAAGGUUUGAAGAUACAUGUCAAUGAUUGCUGUUAAUAUUGCAUAUUAUAUAAUACAUUAAUAUGUACAUUUAGGACAACAUUUGUCUUGUAUAUAAAAAAAACAUGGAGGACAUUUUUUAGGGUAAAAAAAUUUGGUUCAAUGAUGAUGAUAAUUGUGGUUAAAUUGGUAAAACCUCUUCAACUGUAUAAACCUAUCAUUCCUGGUGGUUACAAUUGAGAUGACUCAGGCUAGUAACGAUAAAUAAAACGGAACGAUACUAAUUUAAUAAUCGAUUGAUAUUCUUGUUCCUUUUUUCAGGUUCAUUUUGCAUACAUUUAUUUUUUUACUCUUGCCUGCCUCUUCCCGGUUACAUUUUUUCAGUUACCACAAUUAUAUUCAAGGAUAAUCUUUGGUACACAAUUGACGACUUGAUGGUUCAAAGUUACCUGGAUAGUGAUAAUAGCCGUACCAUUAGUAAUCAAAUCUGGCUCAAAUUGGAAAACAUCAUUUGAAUAAUUCUAGAUAAUUAAUCAACUCCUGCAAGUGCAAGGCAAAUAUGAUCAAAUUUUGGAUGACUUCACCAUUGCGAUAAAGGCUACCAGUUUGAACUAAUUUUUGCUGGUCUUAUAUUCAAAUUCAAACAUUAAUCAACACUGAUUAGCUUUAAAUCAGCACAAAGUUACUCACGGUGCUGAUGAUGAAGGGAAAAAGGAGAAGCAAACAGGAUAAAAAUCAAAGCUGUCAACAACAAGACUCUUCCAAAAAUGUGAUAUGUAACUUGUCACAAGCAAGAAACAAAUGUCUUCAUGGUUACAUCUUUAAUUUAGGGUUUUAACCUGAUUUUCAUCGUUGUUUUUCUUGCUGCUUGGUUCGCUAUUAGCUUGGCCACUAAAUAUCAAGAAUCAUCAUGAUGAUGAAUCAAAAUAUAUUUAUAUAUGAAUCACGCCCUUAGUAUGUGUAAUAUAUUGGAAAAAGCACACAAUAUUUCAUUUUA
Long non-coding RNA from Tetranychus urticae (two-spotted spider mite), 1687 nucleotides. RefSeq lists it as uncharacterized. The record is from RefSeq and is a predicted model, not a curated record. NCBI's taxonomy places the organism in Eukaryota, Metazoa, Arthropoda, Arachnida, Trombidiformes, Tetranychidae.